This 434-nucleotide ribosomal RNA is filed under the name uncultured bacterium. RNAcentral describes it as "partial 16S ribosomal RNA". It matches the Rfam family "Bacterial small subunit ribosomal RNA", at positions 29 to 507 of the family's 1533-position model. The record is from RNAcentral.
UGCGAACGCUGGCGGCAGGCCUAACACAUGCAAGUCGAACGAACCUUUCGGGGUUAGUGGCGGACGGGUGAGUAACACGUGGGAACGUGCCUUUAGGUUCGGAAUAACUCAGGGAAACUUGUGCUAAUACCGAAUGUGCCCUUCGGGGGAAAGAUUAAUCGCCUUUAGAGCGGCCCGCGUCUGAUUAGCUAGUUGGUUGAGGUAAUGGCUCACCAAGGCGACGAUCAGUAGCUGGUCUGAGAGGAUGAUCAGCCACAUUGGGACUGAGACACGGCCCAAACUCCUACGGGAGGCAGCAGUGGGGAAUCUUGCGCAAUGGGCGAAAGCCUGACGCAGCCAUGCCGCGUGAAUGAUGAAGGUCUUAGGAUUGUAAAAUUCUUUCACCGGGGACGAUAAUGACGGUACCCGGAGAAGAAGCCCCGGCUAACUUCGUG